UCAAUUCAACAUUGUUGUAUUUAUUGGGUUCUGAAACAAACACACAUUCACAUCCUUUUGAAUACAGUACAUUUGGCACAGUAAUAACGUUUAUGAUGAAGUAACACAAAUGAAUGGCAAUAGAUUUAAAACACAUCCAAUAAGAAAAAAAUGUCCUGUACAAAUAAAGCAACACAAUACAAAAACGGAAUACGUUUUAUAUUUAUAUAUUUAUAUAUAGCCAGCACUAUUUGCACAUAAUUUAAAAGAGGUAAUUUUCAGCUUUCAUCUUCUUUUUAACUUUUGGAAAGAACCUGUUUAACAUGGCAAUGGGUUCCAUAUUAGAAUUCUAAAAGGAAAUAGUAAAAAAAAUAAAAUAAAAAAAACAUAAAACAGCAGUGAUCAGCCAAUAUAGAUUUUUUUGGCAUUGUGCACAAUACAAAACACAACAAAAUAAAUAAAUGUCAGAAAUUAAAUUGUCGAUCAGACAGAAAUGUAACAGCGCAUCCAUUAUCACUGGCCCUUUUAGCUAUAGGGGUUAACAAACGAUAGGUUGGGUCCUAUUUAGUUCUAAUGUCUGGGUAAAUUUCCAUUUUUUUCUGCGGAAGUAUUCUUAACGUGAAGCCAUCACCGUGGAGACCAAUUGGAAUGCUCUGAAGAUUCCAACACAACUAGCAAUUUUUAUCAGAAUUGCUCUUCAAACAUAUUCCCACCCCUCAUUAUACUAAUCCAUGUAUAACAUGUGUAAGACACAGAAGAAUGGUACAAACCUCAAUGGGUUGUAUUACUUUAAAUUUCCAAAAUCCUGAUUUGCAGAUGCAAGUGGCGCUGUCAUGCCAAACUUACCUUUCUCCUAUUGUUUAAUCUUCUCUCCCUCUCCCAGAAUCUGUUCUUCUUUUCUUUAUUUCUGAUUUAGUUUCCUUGAAAACAUAAAACAAAGUAGGGACUACUUCUCUUCCUCUCUCAGAACCUGUUCUUAUUUUCUUUCUAUCUGAUCUAGUUUUCUUUAAAACAUAAGACAAAGUAGGAACUACUUUGUCUUAUGUAUUUUUCCUACGCUUGACUUCUUUGACCAAAGAAGGAGCUUAAAGGACCACUAUAGUGCCAGGAAAACAUACUCGUUUUCCUGGCACUAUAGUGCCCUGAGGGUGCCCCCACCCUCAGGGUCCCCCUCCCGCCGGCUCUGGAAGGGGGAAAGGGGUUAAAACUUACCUUUUUCCAGCGCUGGGCGGAGAGCUC
Non-coding RNA from Pelobates cultripes (western spadefoot toad), 1218 nucleotides. NCBI's taxonomy places the organism in Eukaryota, Metazoa, Chordata, Amphibia, Anura, Pelobatidae. The record is from the annotation of a GenBank genome assembly.